CCUACGGGAGGCAGCAGUGAGGGAUAUUGGACAAUGGGGGGAACCCUGAUCCAGCGACGCCGCGGGAGUGAAGAAGUAUCUCGGUAUGUACCGCUCUAUCAGCCGGGAAGAAGACAUGACGGUACAUGAGUAAGUAGCCCCGGCUAACUACGUGCCAGCAGCCGCGGUGAUGCGUAGGGGGCAAGCGUUAUCCGGAAUUACUGGGUGUAAAGGGAGCGUAGACGGUGAUGUAAGUCUGUAGUGAAAGGCGGGGGACCAACCACCGGACUGCUCUGGAAACUAUGAGACUGGAGUGCAGGAGAGGUGAGCGGAAUUCCUAGUGUAGCGGGGAAAUGCGUAGAUAUUAGGAGGAACACCAGUGGCGAAGGCGGCUCACUGGACUGUAACUGACGUUGAGGCUCGAAAGCGUGGGGAGCAAACAGGAUUAGAGACCCCGGUAGUC
RNAcentral lists this ribosomal RNA (442 nucleotides) under uncultured bacterium. RNAcentral's name for it is "partial 16S ribosomal RNA". It matches the Rfam family "Bacterial small subunit ribosomal RNA", at positions 338 to 795 of the family's 1533-position model. The record is from RNAcentral.